RNAcentral lists this ribosomal RNA (253 nucleotides) under uncultured bacterium. Its description in RNAcentral is "partial 16S ribosomal RNA". It matches the Rfam family "Bacterial small subunit ribosomal RNA", at positions 524 to 776 of the family's 1533-position model. The record is from RNAcentral.
UACAGAGGUCUCAAGCGUUGUUCGGAUUCAUUGGGCGUAAAGGGUGCGUAGGCGGCGCGGUAAGUCGGGUGUGAAAUUUCGAGGCUUAACUUCGAAACUGCAUUCGAUACUGCCGUGCUAGAGGACUGGAGAGGAGACUGAAAUUUACGGUGUAGCGGUGAAAUGCGUAGAUAUCGUAAGGAAGACCAGUGGCGAAGGCGGGUCUCUGGACAGUUCCUGACGCUGAGGCACGAAGGCCAGGGGAGCAAACGGG